Molecule: small nucleolar RNA, 127 nt
Organism: Bison bison bison
Lineage: Eukaryota; Metazoa; Chordata; Mammalia; Artiodactyla; Bovidae
Source: Ensembl
GGGUUGUGCUCAGAGCAUGGAGCCUGAAGAAAUGGCUCCUGCUUACACCAGACCCAACAGGAAUCUGGGUUAUUGUGACAAGGGGCACAAAACUCGUGGCCUUCCUCUGAACAAGUACCCUACACGU